AUGGCGACAGUGACAAGUGUCACGAACAUGUAGAUGUUCGAAAACAAAAAAUAUAUUGAAAAUGAACAAAGUUAAAACGGUCCGCGUUGCCCGAAUAAAAUCAUUCAUAUAAAAAUAAAAAAUACAAUGAGCCGGCACGAGAGCGGAGAACAACAGCAGUACCACAGCAGGCACCACUAGAAGCACCAGCAGUCCGACUAACAGGAGAAUUACCAACGAUAGCAGCAAACAACAUAAGCAGCAACGGACCGGAUUUGGAAAGCCUGGAAUACGUACUGAGUGAGUAGAGCGACCACAAAGAAGAAGCACAUAAUAACAAAACCGGAACCAAGAUGCCCAACAGACUGCCCUGGACCACUGGAGUCGGCGCACUGCAAAUACACAUGUUGCAAGGAGACCAGCACUGGCGCCACAACCGCCUGUAAGAUGACCAGCACCGACGCCCCAACCGCCUGCAAGAAGACCGGCACAAGCACCUCCGAACCCGCAACAUAAAAAUAUAAUAAUACAAAAAAAAAUUGUAACAAAAAAAAAACCAAUGAAAUGUAAAAGAACCCUUUGUAAUACUGAGCGAUAAUUGCGUUGCUCGUAAUAGAGUAUGGCCUGUGAAGCCAUACGAAGCAUUAGACAGGAGAUCACUGCGUUGAUCAAAUAGGAAUAAACUGAUAUAAAAUGAAAAGAAAACUUUUUAAGUAAUUACUAAUAA
This is a long non-coding RNA of Drosophila miranda, 706 nucleotides long. RefSeq lists it as uncharacterized. Lineage: Eukaryota; Metazoa; Arthropoda; Insecta; Diptera; Drosophilidae. The record is from RefSeq and is a predicted model, not a curated record. The transcript has 2 exons.